Molecule: non-coding RNA, 90 nt
Organism: Acanthosepion pharaonis
Lineage: Eukaryota; Metazoa; Mollusca; Cephalopoda; Sepiida; Sepiidae
Source: the annotation of a GenBank genome assembly
CCGAUUCCCGUACGAUCACCGAAGUUAAGCAACGUCGAGUAUGGUCCGUAUCAACAUGAGUGACCACUUGGGAAUACCAGGUGCUGUAAG